This 397-nucleotide ribosomal RNA is filed under the name Chitinophagaceae bacterium. RNAcentral's name for it is "bacterial SSU rRNA". It matches the Rfam family "Bacterial small subunit ribosomal RNA", at positions 1 to 392 of the family's 1533-position model. Lineage: Bacteria; Pseudomonadati; Bacteroidota; Chitinophagia; Chitinophagales; Chitinophagaceae. The record is from RNAcentral.
UACAAUGGAGAGUUUGAUCCUGGCUCAGGAUGAACGCUAGCGGCAGGCUUAAUACAUGCAAGUCGAGGGGCAGCGCAGUGUAGCAAUACAUGGGCGGCGACCGGCAAACGGGUGCGGAACACGUACACAACCUUCCUUUCAGCGGGGAAUAGCCCAGAGAAAUUUGGAUUAAUACCCCAUAGUAUAUUGGUUAGGCAUCUAACUACUAUUAAAGAUUUAUCACUGAAAGAUGGGUGUGCGGCUGAUUAGAUAGUUGGCGGGGUAACGGCCCACCAAGUCUGCGAUCAGUAACUGGUGUGAGAGCACGACCAGUCACACGGGCACUGAGACACGGGCCCGACUCCUACGGGAGGCAGCAGUAAGGAAUAUUGGUCAAUGGACGCAAGUCUGAACCAGC